GUAAAAUUUUAAUGUCUGGAUUUAUUUUUCUUCCUCAAAAGUGGAGGACAAGACAAAAAUUUGAGAAAUUCCACGGUCUCCCUUCCCCGUAUGAAGAAAAUGACCUGACCCUUUAUUAACAUCUUUGAUUUCUUUGUCUCACCUAUCCACUUAUUAGGAAAAGAAAUUUAAAUUGAAGGAAGAUUUAUAAUAUGUAACCCCUCAACUGGGAUUUGUUAUUUUUUGUUUAGUGUUUGUAUUUAAAGAUGUCA
This 251-nucleotide long non-coding RNA is filed under the name Mytilus galloprovincialis (Mediterranean mussel). Lineage: Eukaryota; Metazoa; Mollusca; Bivalvia; Mytilida; Mytilidae. The record is from RNAcentral.